GACGAACGCUGGCGGCGUGCUUAACACAUGCAAGUCGAACGGAAAGGCCCUGCUUUUGUGUGGUUCUCGAGUGGCGAACGGGUGAGUAACACGUGAGUAACCUGCCCUUGUCUUUGUGAUAACUUCUGGAAACUGGGGCUCUUACCGGAUAUAAUCUCCUGCUGCAUGUUGUGGGUUGGAAAGUUUCGGCGUUUGGGGCUGGACUCGCGGCUUAUCCGCUUGUUGGGGGGGUAGUGACUUACCAAGGCUUUGACGGGUAGCCGGCCUGAGAGGGUGAACGGCCACAUUGGGACUGAGAGACGGCCCAGACUCCUACGGGAGGCAGCAGGGGGGAAUAUUGCACAAUGGGCGGAAGCCUGAGGCAGAAACGCCGCGUGCGGGAUGACGGCCUUCGGGUUGUAAACCGAUUUCGCCUGUGACGAAGCGUGAGUGACGGUAAUGGGUAAAGAAGCACCGGCUAACUACGUG
Molecule: ribosomal RNA, 468 nt
Filed under: uncultured bacterium
Lineage: Bacteria
Description: partial 16S ribosomal RNA
Rfam family: Bacterial small subunit ribosomal RNA
Source: RNAcentral